CCUACGGGAGUCAGCAGUGGGGAAUAUUGCACAAUGGGGGAAACCCUGAUGCAGCGACGCCGCGUGAGUGAAGAAGUAAUUCGUUAUGUAAAGCUCUAUCAGCAGGGAAGAAAAUGACGGUACCUGAGUAAGAAGCCCCGGCUAACUACGUGCCAGCAGCCGCGGUAAUACGUAGGGGGCAAGCGUUAUCCGGAUUUACUGGGUGGAAAGGGAGCGUAGACGGCAGUGCAAGUCUGGAGUGAAAGGCGGGGGCUCAACCCCCGGACUGCUCUGGAAUCUGUACGGCUGGAGUGCAGGAGAGGUAAGUGGAAUUCCUAGUGUAGCGGUGAAAUGCGUAGAUAUUAGGAGGAACACCAGUGGCGAAGGCGGCUUACUGGACUGUAACUGACGUUGAGGCUCGAAAGCGUGGGGAGCAAACAGGAUUAGAUACCCUAGUAGUC
RNAcentral lists this ribosomal RNA (440 nucleotides) under uncultured bacterium. RNAcentral's name for it is "partial 16S ribosomal RNA". It matches the Rfam family "Bacterial small subunit ribosomal RNA", at positions 338 to 795 of the family's 1533-position model. The record is from RNAcentral.